AGUCCGGAUUCGGUUUUCCUUUUUUAGAUGUUAUGACGCAGACGACAAGGACGCUGGGUGCGAUUGUUCAUGAGAAAUGUUGUACCUGGAGAGACGGACAUUUGAAUUAAAAUGGAAAAAGAUAUGCAAACCAAGCAGAGGGGGAUUAUUUUCCGAGAAGAGAGUCGCUUUUCAGCUUUGAAAAUGGGAACGACUUGUCAAACGUUCCACGCAACAAGAGGCAGAUUCAGAUAACUUAGCUAUUUUGUGCCAAUCAUUUUUCCAACAACUGAAUAUAAAUUGCUGCUGUAGAAAAUUUUCGAAGGAUAGGAUUAUUGAUUAUGAACAACAGGAUUAUAUCAUCAUGACCAAGGAAUUCUUCAAGGAGAAGUGCAAGUAAAGGAACGAAUUCAUGAGCAAAAAUUAUAAUAUUGUAAACAGGAGAACAGUUAAAAUAAUACUAACAGUUCAACAGUUUCGUGAGACAAAGAGCAAGACAGAGUAAACUUGGAGUGUAUAUAUAUAUGUCAACCACAAGUACAUUUAAAUACCACAUAAUGCUAAUGAAAUAAGAACUAUGGUACACACUUUUUGUAUGAUUAUGAAUUUCAGGGUUUAAAAAAAAUGUAGUUUUUAAAUAAAUAGAAUUAAAAUAACCAA
Mytilus trossulus (common blue mussel) is the source of this 639-nucleotide long non-coding RNA. RefSeq lists it as uncharacterized. The transcript is spliced from 3 exons. NCBI's taxonomy places the organism in Eukaryota, Metazoa, Mollusca, Bivalvia, Mytilida, Mytilidae. The record is from RefSeq and is a predicted model, not a curated record.